RNAcentral lists this long non-coding RNA (391 nucleotides) under Theobroma cacao (cacao). Its description in RNAcentral is "long non-coding RNA (TCAC_LNC000303)". The record is from RNAcentral. Lineage: Eukaryota; Viridiplantae; Streptophyta; Magnoliopsida; Malvales; Malvaceae.
UUGGAGGCAUAAGGAUUAACAAAAACCUAAUAUUUCCAAGCAAAAGAAUUUGAAGAAAUUAAGAAAUAAAAUUUGAAAAUAUAACCCAUAAAUUCAUAAAUUCAUAAAUUCUAAGAGUUGAAAAUAUAUACCUUUUAGCCUUAAAAAUGGAAAUUUGAAGUUGAAAAUUCAAGUGUUGGUGAUGGUGGAGUAGAAAUAAAAAAUAAAGGAAAGAAAGAGAGAUUUUUCCUUCUCUCUCCUAGGGUUUAGUUGUGUUGGAAAAUGGAGUUAGAAGCUGCAGGUUUGGUGCCCAAGAAGUUAGGAGAAGAAAGAAGUAAGAAAAGAAAUGAAAUGAAAGAAAGGAAGGAAAAGAAAAUGGAAAAGGCUUGAUUUUUAUGGUGGAGGAUGAAAA